This 489-nucleotide ribosomal RNA is filed under the name uncultured bacterium. RNAcentral describes it as "partial 16S ribosomal RNA". It matches the Rfam family "Bacterial small subunit ribosomal RNA", at positions 31 to 507 of the family's 1533-position model. The record is from RNAcentral.
GAACGCUGGCGGUAGGCCUAACAUCUGCAAGUCGUACGGCAGCACAGUAAGAGCUUGCUCUUACGGGUGGCGAGUGGUGGACGGGUGAGGAAUACAUCGUAAUCUACUUUUUCUUGGGGGAUAACGUAGGGAAACUUACGCUAAUACCGCAUACGACCUACUGGUGAAAGCAUGGGAUCUUCUUACCUUGCGCGUUUUAAUUAUCCGAUGUCGGAUUAGCUAGUUGGCGGGGGAAAGGCCCACCAAGGCGACGAUCCGUAGCUGGUCUGAGAGGAUGAUAAGACAAACUGGAACUGAGACACGGUCCAGACGACUACGGGAGGCAGCAGUGGGGAAUAUUGGACAAUGGGCGCAAGCAUGAUACAGCAAUACCGCGUGGGUGAAGAAGGCCUUCGGGUUGUAAAGCCCUUUUGUUGGGAAAGAAAAGCAGCAGGUUAAUACCCCGCUGUUCUGACGGUACCCAAAGAAUAAGCACCGGCUAACUUCGUG